RNAcentral lists this ribosomal RNA (200 nucleotides) under uncultured bacterium. RNAcentral describes it as "partial 16S ribosomal RNA". It matches the Rfam family "Bacterial small subunit ribosomal RNA", at positions 29 to 257 of the family's 1533-position model. The record is from RNAcentral.
AACGAACGCUGGCGGCAGGCUUAACACAUGCAAGUCGAGCGCCCCGCAAGGGGGAGCGGCAGACGGGUGAGUAACGCGUGGGAAUCUACCCAUCCCUACGGAACAACUCCGGGAAACUGGAGCUAAUACCGUAUACGCCCUUCGGGGGAAAGAUUUAUCGGGGAUGGAUGAGCCCGCGUUGGAUUAGCUAGUUGGUGGGG